Long non-coding RNA from Sinocyclocheilus grahami, 144 nucleotides. RefSeq lists it as uncharacterized. The record is from RefSeq and is a predicted model, not a curated record. Lineage: Eukaryota; Metazoa; Chordata; Actinopteri; Cypriniformes; Cyprinidae. The transcript is spliced from 4 exons.
GGGUGAAAAAGGACCUCCUGGAAUCAGUCCAAUGCCUGAAUGUGACCUGGUCGAAUACAUACGCAAAAACUGUCCUUGCUGCUCCGGUAAUGGUACCCAGUGUCCAGUUUACCCCACAGACCUGGUGAUAGCAUUGGACAUGUC